UCUCCGUUGGUGAACCAGCGGAGGGAUCAUUAUCGAGUUUAUGACUCCCAAACCCUAUGUGAACUUACCACUUGUUGCUUCGGCGCGCGCUUCGGCGCCGCCGAGGACACUUAAACUCUUUGUUUUUAUAAGCAUUACUGAGUGGCCGAAAGGCAAAAUACAAAUGAAUCAAAACUUUCAACAACGGAUCUCUUGGUUCUG
Molecule: unclassified non-coding RNA, 201 nt
Filed under: plant metagenome
Description: partial contains small subunit ribosomal RNA, internal transcribed spacer 1, and 5.8S ribosomal RNA
Source: RNAcentral